Molecule: long non-coding RNA, 8762 nt
Organism: Enhydra lutris kenyoni (northern sea otter)
Lineage: Eukaryota; Metazoa; Chordata; Mammalia; Carnivora; Mustelidae
Exons: 4
Source: RefSeq, a predicted model, not a curated record
AGAGAGAACGUGCACAGAAGUCCACUCAAACAUCCAUUUGUAUAGAUGCCCGAUAUACUUUGCUUUAGAUGAAUGGCCUAAUAAACAAGUGUGGGCAAAAGUUGAUCAUAGAGAGAAUGUCCAUUUAUAAGGUCAGCCUGCAAUAACUCAGGAUUCUUCUACCAGAGGCAACCUGGAGUGCAGACGUUUUGUGUGGGGUGGGGACUUGCAGUACCUUCUCCGUAUGUGCCACUAAGUAAUUUUCCCCAAGCAGCAAACUCUAGAUAUUCUGGUUAAGGGUACAUCUCCAAUUUUAUCAAUAAGAAGAGGAUAUCUUUCCCUCCGGAAAAAAGACAGAAGCCAGCAAAUGAAGACACCCAAGUCAAGGCCUGAACCUCAACCCAGGCGGGAUGUUCAGAACCAAGACAACUUACCACUGUGAUGCACAUCCACCAGGGAGAUGAAAGGGGCCACACGCCUGUACGUGUUGCACUGGAAUCUGCUCUGAAGAGACAGAGACCAGACACUUUGGAUUCUGCCCAUGAGGCCACGUCCCCUGAGCCUUGAAGCACCACCUGUAAAAACAAGGAGAGCAUUUAGUUGAGGUCUCAGGACCCACACUCGUGGAGACACAGAGUUACCCAUAACGGAAAGUAUGUCCCUCCAUCUCAGCAGGGAGUUCAGGCUCAAGGAGGCCAAAACCAUAGAGCCCCGCAAUUUGUGAAAGAUUUAGCAUUGCUGCUGGCAGACCUUCACCUAAUACAUGCUUGGCAAUUUGGCUGCCAGAAGUUCCAUGAUGUCCAGACCUGACCCAAGCAGGAGGAUGUGGGCAAGGAGGUGGCCGGGAGGUCAAUCACCAUUUGCAACUAGUGACAAGAAUCUCAGUAAAGUCCCUUCUGCUCCCAGAACCCAAACAGAAGAUCUGCAGAAACCCUAUUUCAACUGCAUUUUUCAUGACCGUCCUAGGGAGGCUUACUUCUCCUUGAUUCGUCUUUCACUUUUGACAUGUGUUCUCAUUCAUCUACCUGUAACUUCAAUGAUAGGGAACUCCUGGAGGAGAUGUGCUUACACUCUACCUCUUUGAUGUCUUUUCUACUCACGUUAGUGACCCUCUUAGUCUUGCUUCCUUUCUUCUUUCAUAACUCUCUAUUCAAAAGCAUCUUAGCAGUCAUUAAAUAUUUUUCUUAAUUUUUGGCUUAUAUGUGAUUCAAAGGAUGAGUACACAAUUUUUUAAAAGUGUACAAGGAUACCUUGAGAUGAGUAACACAGUAAAGUAGUAUCACACUCUUAAAUGGAAUUUUGGGAGAUUCGACCGGCAAAAAGCAUUACUACAUAUUGAGUGGAAACUAAGCUAUGCCACCUGCAAAAUCUCUAUUUGGCUGAAAGGGGCCUCUCGCCUUUCCUCGCUAAGACAUGCCUCUCAUGGACCCUGGAACUCAAAAUAAAAAAGAAAAAAAAAACAACAACUACCUUCCACUUCCACAACACCCUUCCACCUCAGGGUCGUGGCUAUGGCAGACCUCACACUGUGUGCUUUUUACCCUGAUAAACACCAACCCUCCAAUAAAGCACAGAGCAUAGAGCCAAGCUUCAGCACCCUGGCCACCUGGCUGGCUGACGUGGCUGCCUGGGCCUGCCUGGGCCUGCCUGCCUCCCUCCCUGGCUCCAGUCCUUUCCUAUAGCAUCUGCCUGGGCCCUGUGAUUCUGGCUCUGCCCCAGGUGCCCUGUGCCCUGGGUGCAGGCCGUCAAAAGGCAGUUGAGGAGCCUUAGACUCCAGCUGACCGGCCCUGUGCUCGGCUCAACCCAACCACCGUGGUGACCAACGUGGGCCCAGGUGCCAGAUUGGACUGCAACCCCCGCUUUCCUGCUCAAACACAGGGGGAUCCUCUGAAGCAAGGCACAUUGGCCCCAAAUAACCUGCCGCUGAGCCCCCACACCACCAGCCUGAAUAACCCCUGGGGACAGAAGCCCAAGACGCCUAAACAACUUACCCACCAGGCAGUGCAUUUCACUCGUCCUCACUUUUUGCAAAGGUUGUCUGAUGGUUCCAGAAAAAUCCGGCUAAGUUAUGGCCUGGGUGCUGUUGGUAGGUUUAGAACCCUUAACCUACCCAGGUUUUGAAAGGUCACCUGACCCAUUUCUGAGGGCUGGCCCAGUGACCACGCCCACAUCUGCCAGCCUGGGACUCUGCCUGCAGAGGGAAUUCCCAUCUUUGCUGAUCAGAGACAUGACCCUCUAACUGCCCCAACUGACCUGAGUAGGAGCCCCAGCAAAGGAGGGGAGAAGGGACAGGGCCCUCGGGUCAUAGAUGAGCCCACAUGGCACUCAAUGAGACAGGACAUCCCUCUGGGAGCAUCCAAAGAAGGGGAAGUUCUGACAACAAACUCAGGGGCUUCAUCUUAUCGCAAAGGGGUAUAAACAAUGAGCCACGUGGCUUUCUCAGACCUGAGAAGGGGCUGUGACCAACAGGUCAGGCUGACAUGGAUGCUGGGUUGCUGUGGCCCUACCUGGCACUGUGGGCCACUUAACACAAACUUUUAGGCAGAGGCCAAGGUCCGCACAUGCCUGGAUUCCCGAUAAGGAAGUGCCUUUCUCUGGGAACAGGUCCUGGGAAGCAGGAGGAUGCCUCCAGGUGUGAAAUAAUCUCUCAUGUCUGAGUGCAAGACUGGAAGCAUCUCUCUGCCCAUUGGGUUUGCCCCGCACUCUACAGAUCUACUCUUUCCAAGCAGUGACCUUGAACCCACAGUCUUCCCUUCCUGCGGUGCCCCAGAACCAUACUCUUUGACAGAGGCAUGCUACUAGGCCCCUGAGAGAGGCAGGCCAGGACUCGCAGAGGGCAGGGCCAUGAGGAGCAUACCGGUAUCACUCACAAACACCUCCAUGGCACGUUAGAUGGUCUCAGGCCAAUGCUUUUGGAGGCCUUCAGGAUGACCGCAAAGUGCCAGUAUUUCUUCACACCUACAGGUGGAGGGAGACAGGGAAAAGGGGGUCCAGAACCACCUCCCUCUCUUGCAACCACACUGAGGUUCUGCGGGGAAAGCCCUAGGCAUCCCCAGAGGGUCUGUGUGGAGCGGCAUCCUCCUCCUUCCCUGAACAGGGACUAUCAUCCACCCAGCACAACAGCAGACCCACCCAGUCCCUCUGCGCUCAGAGUCAAAGGGACAGCAGGCUCUCUUCCAGGUGAAGAGCAGAGGUGCCAGAACACAAAGUCAUGGGUCUUGCCAUUCCUCCAGAAUCUCUGUGAGAACAGAUGGGGAAACACCCCAGCAUCUGAGGAAGAAAUGCACUGUUUGGACUCUUGAGUAUUUUAAUUUUAUCAUUUUCCAAUGAAUUCUACCUUGCGUUUCUCCUUGCAGUACUACUGAAAAUGUCAAAAAUUUUCCUCCAAGAAUACAAGUCAGCCAUCAGAUCUACGGAGAAAUGAGACCCUAAGUACCAUCUAGAUAAGAAGUCCUCAAAUCUUCUUCUUAGUGGGAUGCAGUCUGAAGACUCAGCUAGCUUGGAUGAUCCAGGAACGAGGAAACUGCCACCUUCCAUGGGCAGAAGAGACCAGAAGCAGGUUGCCAGCUACCCAGACAAUGAAAAGGGAUGGUAGGAAAACACACUUGGAUCAUUGGUGUCUUCCUGUUAGAAAGAUGGCAGAAAAGACAUGGAUGAGAAUUCUAAAGGAAGAUUUUUGCUGGAUGGACAGGCGGGUGAACGUUCCACAAGAACAACAGAGGAAGACGCCAAUUUUUCACCAGGGUGGUAUGUUGGCCUUUAUUUGUGGGAAACACGAAAGUCUUCUGGCUUUUUAAAUCAAGGUCAUAUACAAAAAUCUCAGCAUGCACAACUGACAGGGUAGGGAGAAGUUUGAGGGAGAAUCUGUUACCAAAUGCUACCUAAUCCCAAAGAUAUUGUAGGGGGGGGCGGGGACAAUCACAGCAGGAUCACCUACCAUCUGUAGGGCAGUGAGCUUUUGUAUGGAUAGCAGCUAUUCAUCCUUGCCACCUAUUUUGUUCAGUGGGAACCGGAACGUGGAACCUGAAGGAAGACUGGGCACAUUUGUGCCGGACUCAUUUUGCUCUCUUCAUACUUUGGGGCUCACGGGCCUCUAGCACACUUCCCCAUCUGGUUUUCUCCCAUCCCCCAGGGAACAAAAAAGCCACACAAACAGGACAAAGCAUGAUUUGAUGCUUAUUCUGUUUUCUUUUCUGAAAUCAUGGGUGACCCUGCUGGUAGGGGAUGGCGGUAAGUAUUCUAUACUCUAGAGUCACUUACUUGUUUGCAACAACCUGGAAAAGGGGAAAGGUGGGGCUUCCUCACAGGCUUUCAUGAUGAGAACCACUCUGAUUACAGGUCCUGCAGGAUUGAGAAUAAAGGUCAUAGUAACAGAAAAGCAUUUUCUGGGGAAAGACCCGUGGCCUCAUGGCCCUGUCCCCAGAAACUACUCCGCUGCCCUUAGGUGGUGCAGCUUUGAGUGCAGGGAGUAGGUGUGCCUUAGAGAUGGACCAUUUCACAGCUACUCCAUGACCUGUAGCUCCAGUAUGAGGCAGAGUUUCUAUUCACGUCCCUGCUCCUCUUCAGGAGCUUUCUUCCUCCAUCCAGGAAGGGCCAACUGCAGCUCAGUCCAGACUGAUUAGCUCCCCACCUCCACACACUUGUCAACACAUGCACACCAAGAAACGCUCCAUGAGCAAUUCCUGAAGAGCCCCGUGGGUGUCCCGACACUCUCUGUGUGUAUCUACCUAGAUCCCCUGGCUAGCCUUUGCAAUGGCCUUGAUGUGAACAGCACAGAGGGAGAGGCCCCAUUUUUCACCAAGGUGGUAAUUUAGCCUUUCUUCAUGUGAGGUACAGCAUCAUUUGUUUCUCUUAUACUCGAAAUCAGAUCCAAACACCUCAGCACGUACAAUGUACUUGGUGGACAGAUCAUUGAGGGAGAGUCUGUUACCCAUGGAUACCCGAUUCCAAAGACUCUGCAGGAAACAGCAGGUUCGGUUACAGUCCACAGGGUAGUGAGCUUUUUCCCGGGUACUACUUACACCGCCUUACAACCUGUUUUGUCCAAUGGACCCAGGGCAUGCAACCUCUAAGUAGAUUCCAUAUCAGUGCCCAUGACCCUGCCCAUCACCAAGAGAACAAAAGAGCUGUGCAUGCAGGAUGAGGCAUGACUUGAUGUUCAUCAUGUUUUCUUUUCUGAAAUCGCAGGUGGCCCUGCUGGAAAGGGAGAGUGGUAAGUCUGCUGUACUCUAGAGUCACGCAUUGGUUUCGAGCAACCUGGACAAGGGCAAGGUGGGGGUUCCCUGCAGGCUCCAUCUUGAGAGCCACCCAGAAUCCAGAUCCUGCUGCAAUGGGACUAAGAGUCAUGUUCCAGACCACCACCCAAGGCCUCAUGAACCUGUCCCCAGAAGCUACCAUACUAUUCUUAGGUGCUGUAGGAUUGGGUGCUGGGCAGGAGCUGUGUUUACAUGGGAAUCCAUGUGCUGUGAUUCUCAGGGUUGGUGUGUGUCAGGUGUGUGAAUGGGAUGUUCUUAUACCUAUCUGUUCCCUUCAACAUGGUGAUUAAUGGUGUCCACUUUCUCAGGAAAGUUUCCAAUCACCGUCAUGUCAUUAACGUCCAUGUAUGUGAAAACUUUUCAACACCUACAAUUUCAACAGGUGUUCUUUCCUUGCAAAUACACAUCAAUUACCCUAGAAAAAAAAUCCCGUCGCUAACUAGGAAGGGGGAAACUGUGCCCCAAAGACAAGUUUGCCUUGUCCAAUCCCUGUUACUGAGUCAGUGUCCAUGGGUCUCUCACAUCAUGGUACGCUGCGGGCAUGAAUGGUCACAGUACCUCCCUCUUGCCACUUCACUCACAUAUGUCUCUGCAUCAGAGGCCCCAUGAUGCAUCUUCCCAAACUCUUUGGAAGCACUGAGUGCUGGGACAGACUCCUUCCUUCUGCAAGCAGCUUCUGCGGCAGCCUCGUGCAAAGGCACAUUCAGGGAGGAUCCUGACAAAGGAGCAGUAGCCAGGAAUAGAUGGGGCCAAUUCACUCCGUGUUUCUCUGUGGAGAUCUACCAUUUCCCUGAAGAUACUGUGUCUAAGAUUUAAACUUCUUCCCAUGGGAAAUCACACACCCACCACUGGUGCUAGCUGGGGCUCUCUGAGGAGGGCACAAAAGGUGUCCUAUCAUAGGGGAAAUGAGGUCUUCCUCAGGGACUGAGCAUUACUCUGGGGACCUGGGCCCCCUCCAUGCAGGAAUGAAGGGUGCUCUGGGCAUUGCAAAGUGGCGAAAGAGAACCUCAAACCUCAACAGGUGUGACAGGAAAAUCAUCACACAUUUCCCUGGCCAUCUGUCCAUGCAAGAGGGGCUUGUUUUAUUUGGUAGGUUUGUGCCAAUAGAGAAGUUAAGGGAGUUCAGUGCCUAGGAAUGGAAACAGAGCCAAAUUAGGGUUGCAGGGUUCUUUUGCAUCAAACAAGAAUUUCUCUCAUGAGAAACAUGUAUUUGAACAGAAUCUGAUUUUCCGACAUCUCUUUUCCUCACUUGCAUGUGUGAGAUCCAUGGGAGUACCUUUCAUUGCUCUCUGACGACACUCAACAGGCUUUUCCAGGGCAGUUGCACCAUUCUGCAUUCCACUAACUGCAAAGAAGUCUCAAAUUUUCUGCAUCCUUCCAACAUGGGUUUUGGGCUUGAAUUCCUGGUUUGGUCCUCACUACCCUAACAGACAAUGCCACAGCUCAGCGUCCUUUGGAUUUACAUUGCCCUCAUGAUGCCUUAUGUUGUGCAUCUUUUUAUAUUUCUGUUUGGCCAGCCAUUCAUUCCCUUUGCAGCACAGUCUAUUCAAGUCUUUUUCUCGAUUAUUUCAUUUGGUGAAAUCCCGUUCUUUUUUGGUUUUGUUUUGCAUUCUUUUGUUUGUUGUUUUUCCUUUUUGUCAGUGAACACACCUUUUCUGAAAUAAGGAUUGCAAGGGGUGUCUCGAAUAUGUGGGCUGCCUUUUCAUUCUGUUCACUGUUUCAGAAGAGGAUGCUUUUUCUAGUCAGUCCUCUUGUCAAGCAUUGUGAUUCCAAUAUGAGCACAUUUAUUUGUGCAUUUCUAUUUCGCUCCCACAUGCUCCUGUCUAUUUUUAUGCCAGCACCAUCCUGUUGGCUCAGGGGAGUGAUCCAAGGUAUUGGAAGAUCAGCUUCUAGGGACCCACCACCUACUCCUUCAUACUCAGAAACAUUUUGGCUCCUUGUGUUCCUUUGAGGUUCCAUAUCUAUUCUAGCAGUUUCUCUGUUUUGAGAAUAUUACAUUGUGCUUUUGGUCAGUGCUGCACUGCAUCUGUUCACCAUUUGUUCUAGGAACUGGGGGUUCACCUUAAUCUCUUAGUGUCCAAAGGCCUCCAACAGUGCCAAGUCGGUGUGCAUGAGCCUGGGAAUGUCUUACCUAUCGAGGGCCCUGUCAGGCAAGCCACUAAUGCCCGAGAAAUAUGUGGGAGAGCAGGGCUUGUCUCUCGCUCCUGGCUGGCUCUAGUGCUGAGCUAACCAGGAGUCUGUCUACAAUUCACUUUACACAGUUAUUUAUUAUCUCAAUGGACUAUACAAAAAUCAUCAAGGAAAAGAAAACGUCCAGUUGCUCCCUCCCACUAGCCAGACAUCAAGAGUCCCAUAACAACUAGAGUUUUAGAUGGUUGCAUUGGGAGGGGACAGCAGUCAUGGGCAUGCAGAACUGACACUGAGGUGGCUGCUGCAGCAUCCUGGUCUCAUUAGAAAGGAUGAAACUCCAAUUUCUGUCUCCUCGAAGGGCUCUGGCUCCACCAGCCCCAUGAACAUCUGACACCAGUGCAAAAGGGUCAGGCAGAUGCUGCAUGGUACAUAGACAUCUCAACGGAACCGGGAUGAAUGGGUGCGGCAGUCUCUUUCGUAACAGCAUUGCUUCUAUUUUGGUUCCUAUAGAUUGUAUGUAGAGAGCGUCCAGGACUCCAGCAAUGAGGACGAAGUCUCUUCAGCAUCCUCGCUGCUCUCUGACCUGGAGGAGGAUUCCAUGGAAGACGACGAUUUCAACAGAAGGAGACACACUGCGCCUCUCUCAAGAAGCUUUCCUUCUGUGGACUUGACAGAAACAACAAGGGAAGCAGAAGAAGAGAAGGACUUGGGAAUGGGCUGCACCACAGGACAGUCUGCUCACGACACUGAGGCACCAGAGUCUCCAGAGGCGCUCAGACAAAGGGAGCCAGGAGGGCCCUGGGGCCCCACUUGCAGUGUCGAUUUGGGCCUGGAGGAAGACUCAGCAUGAAAACACAAGGAAACAUGCCUGCAGGAAUGGCUCUCUUGCACCUGACCUCCACAAGCCAAACAGAGAAGACUUCUGUGCAGCCCACCAGAAGAUGACACUGGAACCCGAGGAAGAGACAAGAGGACUCUCUGAGUCAGCCAACACACCCAGAAUUGGCUGACCAGGCCUUGCUGAUGACUGACACUUGGAGCAGGAAGCAAUGAUCUGGGCCUACAACAGUCCAUUGUCUGGUGAGAAUGGGCCCUCCUGGGACUGGGGGGCACAGCAGCCUUCUGGUCUUUUCCCCUGUCUGCUUCAGGGGAUGCUACUCCUCCUGCUGUCCCUCCAGUCCCCAGCAACCAUGCAGAGCAUGACAGAUGCAGGAAGAAGCAGGACUGCCAGGGCCCCUUGACCACCCUGGAAUCGACUUGAGGGACAGCAGCCACCCCACCUGUAUUCCCCUAGGGUGCCACCCCUGAAUCGCCCCUGUCUCUUCCAUGUACAGGUCCAUGACCAAUGCUUGGAUCAAUGUUAGGGCCAAUUUAAUGUUAAAACCUGUUUAACUAUUA